This is a long non-coding RNA of Taeniopygia guttata (zebra finch), 5668 nucleotides long. The record is from Ensembl. NCBI's taxonomy places the organism in Eukaryota, Metazoa, Chordata, Aves, Passeriformes, Estrildidae.
ACAGAUGAAUGUAUAAUAUAUUACACAAUAGAGAUACAGUGCAAUAACAGCAUUGAUUUGUUUUCACUCGGUCAUAAAGUGCAUCGAAGGGGCUUGAUUUGACCAUAACUGAAUGAUAACUGUACAUUUGCCUUUGAGAUCAACUUUCCCAGUCAAGUUAAAAGGCUGAUGACAACACUGACAGCAAAACAAGGCUGUCCUGCUUGCUGUGGGAUGGCCUCAUUCCUGGGAAAUCGGUGGGACGGGAGGCAGGGAGGGGGUGAUGGAUUCCUGUCCUGCCUGCACAGAGCAGGCUCUGCCUCUGUGGGAUAUUCCUGCUGGGCUUGGCCACCAGGAGCUCGCCCUGCCUGGGGCUGGGGGAUUCCCUGUGCAGGGAGGAUGCUCUUUAUCCCGGGCUGGUGUGCUCUGCCCUGCUCCCAAGGGACAUCAGCCACCACACCAGCCCCGUCCUUGUCCCUGCGCUGCAGAGGAAAGGCAAGGCACAGCCCAGGGCUGCAGCCAGACCCUUCCCAGCUGGAAUAAAAGCUUUUCCUGGGACGAGGCAGCUGUUUCCCAGCUCCCAGAGCCUGCAGUAAGGCCAUAAACCUGUGCUGUGGUUUCGGUGGCUGUCAGUGCCCUGCCCGCUGCAGCACCCUCAGCAGGGACGGGAUCACCUCGGAGCCACUGGGCUGCUCCUGGCACCCAGCAGAAUUCCUGAAGGCAACUGGCACCCCUGGAGCUGGAGACAGCCCACUCACACCCCUCCAAAUCAGGGACCAAAGAGCUUCACACCACCCCUCUGACUUGGGUGCUCUCUGCCGAAAACUCCAUUUUCUCCUGUGAUGCUCUGUGCUGCAGUUUUCCAGUGGGAAUGGGAGAUCUCAGUUCCCGGGGCUGCAGGGACACUGGGGAGGGUGCCCUGGGGGGGAUGUUGCAGUGGGCAGCUGCACUGACAACAGAAGAGGAACAAAUGGUCCCAGUGGAGCUGCCUCACCUCACCACGAGGGCAGGCUGGGCAGGAACGAGAGGAAUUGCAAGGAAAUACCGUGUGCAUCCAACAAUUAUUCCUGACAAUUAGAAGUGAACUGUUAAUUCAUCGUUAGCAACAGCGUGAGUCUCAAUGCUGGGCAGGACACACCAAUACAAGUGAGUACCAAUGGGGUUUUAAAAGGUCUCCCCACCCCAAAUUUGAUGCUUUUACAAGAAAGAGAUACUUCAUCACCUAAGGAGAACAGUAAUGGUUUCUUGGGGGUUCAUUCCAGGUUCAAUUAAAACUCUUUGAUAUGAACAGACUGGAGCUGCCACAUCAGGACUGAGAUCCUUGGAAUCUUUACUGCUGGUUACUGACAUGAGGCUGGCUAAAGAGAGACAUUUUCACUGCUCAAAGUCCCAAACUGACCAAAAUGGAUAAGGAAAAAAGAAAACAAACCCCAAAAUAAAAGUAAGCAGCUUUGUGGUGGAGUCUAUAUUUGUUUUUUGGUUUUUUUUGGUUUUUUUUUUUGUUUUGUUUUUUUUGUUUUUUUUUUUUAAUUUCUAAUACUGGGACAGGGACAAGGGCUUGUUGUAAAUGCACAAGCUCCCCCCAAGCCUGGCACAUCUCCAUGACCCUCAGGGCAGCUGUGGUUACAUCCCACCCCACAGUGGCCCUGGCCUUGUCACAGUGUAUUUGAGGAAUGUUUUCUCCUUCUUUCUCCUCCUUGCCCUUUCCUCACCCCCUCAGCUCAACCAGCCAAGCACCAACACCGAAAGCUUUUCACCUCUACAUUCUGCUGGCCACCAGCUCGUGGUGGAAAAGCCAAAGGCACCCAGGAACCUGUAAAUAAAUCAGCAAAUUAGCAGUGGAUUCAUUUCCCUGGCUAUGCUGAUCCCUGCCAUAGGCUCAGGGCUGGUUGGAUACCAUCUCUAAUUACUCAGGACCACUUUUCUGCCCAUUUCUGCCUCUGUAGAUCCAGACCAGCUCCUGGAGAGUCCAGAAGUGACAAGAGUCUAAGCCCAGCCUGUCACUAGCCUCUCAUCCUUUAUCAAAAGCUAUUUGCAAAGCUCAGAGUUUGGAGAUAACAGUGGCGAGAUCCUGGCCAGGGUGAGGAUGGGGAGUUCUUCCCAACCAAACACUCACCAGCCCUCUCCAGGCAGCUCCAGUUCCCACCUGGAGUCACCACAGGGACUCUGUGGACAUCAAAGGACAUCUGCAAGUUCCCAACAAGCCAAAGCCCCUGUGCUUUGCAGGACUGUACUGUCCCCUUGUCUCAGCUGAAAAGCACAGCCGUUAAAUCAGAGGCUUUUAGAGACCUCCAAUUAAUAGAGAUACAGAAUCCCAGGUGGAGGAGGCCUCCCAGUACAUCCAACACCAGAAAACAUGGAGCACUGGAUGUUCUCCAGUUGCUCUGUGCCCUUCUGCUGGUACCCAGGAGGUGGAGAGGGCUGCUGGGCUCUUUUCACUGAGUUUUGGAUCCUCAGUGAAUGCACAGAGGAUCCACCAGCUGGAAACCCCAUUUUGCUUUUGGUAAUUCCCUCACCAUUGGUGCCCCAUCCACGUGGGACACUGUUACAUUCAUGGGAGCUGCUCCCUCUUUUUGGCAACAGAACCUCACCCUAAAGCCCUGCAUUCCAUCCUAAACAUGUCCCAAAGCAGCCCCAAACACUGGGACAUUCCCACCUGCACACAGCAACCCUGCCCCAGCACGUGAUUCGAGGUGUUAAAUUAACUUUCCUGGUGUUCAGCGUGAGGAGGCUCCAAAAUCCACCUCUGAUGUCCAACAUUGCCACUCCAAACUUUCCCGGUGAAAGUUUUUAUCUGGAAAACAAAACUAAAACAAAACCAAGGCACUGCAGCACAGGUGCAGUAAAAUGGGCAGAGGUUUCCACAAGGCAACGCAUGGCAGGUGAACCUAAACCUCUUUAUCCUCAUCUUCACUUCCCCUCAUUUCCCCCCCUUUCCUCUGACAAAACAGGAGAGGAAAAACAGCAAAAAAAAACCACCUGGAAAUUGCACUAUUUUUAUUUGCCAUUUUAUCAAAAUGGCGAUUUUGUUAGAGGAGAUUUCUUGAGAGUUUUCCUAAAAAAAGUGUUUUUAACAACUUCCAUGGGCAGCUCUAACAUCUCAGAGAGAGGUGUUAGACCAUCACUCAAAAAGAAAUGAGAUCCUUAUUUUACAGUAACUCUGAGCACGGAAUAGGCUCGUACCACAUCCUGACUGUGAGCUGGGGCAGUGCACCCAGGGACCAGAAUUCAGAGUUUGCCUUUGCCAAAGUGGCUGGAAAUGAGUUUGGGUGAGUGUCCCAAUGAGGACACCCCCACCUGCUCUAAACCCCAGUCUGGCAGGGGCUCUGUCCCCAGCUUUAGCUCCUCACAUCCCAAAUCUUUCUCCUCUUGCUGUGGAGGGCCACAGGGAGAAAUUUUUCAUUGAUCCUCAUUUGACUUUGGUGAAAUUUAUCAGUGUAUCCCUCAAACUGAGAUGUAUUUUAAGUAAGCAACUAAACUCUAAAAAGGACAUUGUUAAAAUCAAGCUCUUCAGCAACAGGGAAUUUACUGGAAAGCCAAAAAAGGCAACUUUUUUCAUGUCAAGGUUUCUCUGGAGCUGAUUAGUUAAACUACCUUUCAUCUAAAGAUACAAAAUGAGCUGCCCAGAGAAACAAAUCCUGACUUCUAGCUAGGGUGGUUGUAUAAAAACAUUUCAAAUGUUCACAAUGUUUCAAAAAGGGUUUACGCUAUUGAGUUUUCACACUGAGGAACUGCAGGGACCUGGCUGCACUUGAGAAACCAGAGGAAACAGAAUGAGUGAAGUGUUUGUAUAAAUAUUAGUCUUACAUAUAUAUUUACUUUAAAACUUACAUUGAUUCCACAUUGUGCCAACUGCCCAUUCUCCAAGGUAUUCAUCAGAGAAAGGAAAUGGGAAAAAAACCCAAACCCACAAAACAUAAAAACUCCAAGAGUGGCCACCUCUCACAGGUAGACGAUAAGUCCAAGCCCCAGGCACACUUGGGAACCUCAGAGCUCUCUCUUGUGCACUGAGCUCCGAGGAGCGAGAGAUCCAGGGACAAAACCCACCUGGAUCUGUCUGUAUCCAGCCAUAAAGUGACUUUGUACCCUCUGCAGCCACACAAAGCAAGAACACUUCUUCCACUAUCACAGACUCACAGAAUGUUACAGGCUGGGAGGGACCUCAAAGCCCAUCCAGUGCCACCCCUGCCAUGGCAAGGACACCUUUCCUUGGAGUAUCCCAGGCUGCUCCAAGCCCUGUCCAGCCUGGCCUUGGGCACUGCCAGGGAUCCAGGGACAGCCACAGCUGCUCUGGGCACCUGUGCCAGGGCCUGCCCACCCUGCCAUGGAACAAUUCCUUCCCAAAAUCCCAUCCCUCCCUGCCCUCUGGCAGUGGGAAAUCAUUCCUUGUCCUGUCACUGCACACCCUUGCCCAAGUCCCUCUCCAACAUCACAACAAUUUCUCUACAGCAAAGCAGAAUAUUUGGGCACCAGACUCAGCUGCUGGAGGGUCUCCCAAGCCCCCCAUGCCAGGAGCAGCACACCCCCUGUGCCCUGAGCCCCCCUGCAUGUCCCACCCCCAGCCCUGCCACCCCUCCGGGGGUUGCUUGGGUUCUUCCUUGCUUUAUGGGUGAAUGCACGAUUCCAAAAGAAAGCACAGGAUAAAGGACACUUCAUCAUGGCCUCACGAACACCACAAAGCACAUCACACAGCACAGGAAUGUCGGGGCUGGCGCUUCUCUAACGAAGCAAGGUAAAGUGGCAGCAUCGGCAGUGACACGUGUGGUGACAGAGGCUUCUCUCCCGGGGACUCCAGCAAGCCCGGACCCCUCUUUGGAUGAAAACCCCACCCCAUGUAAACAACUCGUGUGGAAGGGGGGGAAGCAGCACCCCAUUGCCCAGCUGGACAAGGAGAGCCCUUCCUUGGCCUCCCAGACUUUGGGGUGCGGGGCACCCCAGCUGCCCUCACCACCCCCACACCGCCAACCCUGCCCCAGUCACAUUUUGGGGGGUGGGGGGGGAAGGAGGGAACGGAUUCCCUGGACGCCCCCAUCCCUGCCACAGCCCGAACAAGCCACACCUAAAGCGUCUUUCACCCCGCAGGUUCUCCAAGUGCUUCUCGAAGCACAGAGACACGGGACUGUCCCCGCGUCCCUCCUGCCGGAGCUCUCCUCCCCGCAGUGCUGAACGCGCCCCCCCAUUAUUGCAUAGCAUCGCAGGCCCUGAUUUCAUUCAGGGGAUGGGCACAGCCACCCCACGCGUGGGGACCAGCCCCGCCGGGGGGGACGCGACAUCUCCCUCCCCGCCCCCCCGCUCCUGUGGCCUUCCCAUGGGAUGUGCCCCGAGGCGUGGGACCACCCGGAUGGGGCCCGCUGCUCCCCUGGCUCCUUACCCCGGGAGCAGACAAACGCCAUCGUGCGAGGAUCCUUUUUCUUUGCUUUUUCUUUUCUUUUUUUUCCUCUUUUUUUUUUUUUUUUUUGGUGUUUUGUGUUUUUAAAUAAAAAAUAAAAUGUGUAAGAAAAUAACAUUUCUAAAGGAAACCAUUAUCAUUCUACUCUCUCUCUCUCUCUUUCCUUUUCUCUUUUGCCUUUUUUUUUUUUUCCUUCUUUUUGGCCAUCUUUCCAUGGAACGAGAUGUGCUGACCGGGGAGGGGACUCCUCCCGGCAGGAGACAAUAACGACAGAGGGGGAAAAGAGAAGGAGCAGGAGAG